This 87-nucleotide transfer RNA is filed under the name Gammaproteobacteria bacterium. RNAcentral describes it as "tRNA-Leu". It matches the Rfam family "tRNA". Rfam says of the family: Transfer RNA (tRNA) molecules are approximately 80 nucleotides in length. Their secondary structure includes four short double-helical elements and three loops (D, anti-codon, and T loops). Lineage: Bacteria; Pseudomonadati; Pseudomonadota; Gammaproteobacteria. The record is from RNAcentral.
GCCGAUGUGGUGGAAUUGGUAGACACGCUGUCUUGAGGGGGCAGUGGCCUUAGAGCCGUGCCGGUUCGAGUCCGGCCAUCGGCACCA